This 513-nucleotide ribosomal RNA is filed under the name uncultured bacterium. RNAcentral's name for it is "bacterial SSU rRNA". It matches the Rfam family "Bacterial small subunit ribosomal RNA", at positions 9 to 517 of the family's 1533-position model. The record is from RNAcentral.
GAGUUUGAUCGUGGCUCAGAUUGAACGCUGGCGGCAGGCCUAACACAUGCAAGUCGGGCGGUAGAGAGAAGCUUGCUUCUCUUGAGAGCGGCGGACGGGUGAGUAAUGCCUAGGAAUCUGCCUGGUAGUGGGGGAUAACGCUCGGAAACGGACGCUAAUACCGCAUACGUCCUACGGGAGAAAGCAGGGGACCUUCGGGCCUUGCGCUAUCAGAUGAGCCUAGGUCGGAUUAGCUAGUUGGUGAGGUAAUGGCUCACCAAGGCGACGAUCCGUAACUGGUCUGAGAGGAUGAUCAGUCACACUGGAACUGAGACACGGUCCAGACUUCUACGGGAGGCAGCAGUGGGGAAUAUUGGACAAUGGGCGAAAGCCUGAUCCAGCCAUGCCGCGUGUGUGAAGAAGGUCUUCGGAUUGUAAAGCACUUUAAGUUGGGAGGAAGGGCAGUAAAUUAAUACUUUGCUGUUUUGACGUUACCGACAGAAUAAGCACCGGCUAACUCUGUGCCAGCAGCCG